GGGAAUCCGGUGCGAAUCCGGAACUGUCCCGCAACGGUGUGAAGUGCACCUGUUCGUGCAACUACAAGUCCGAGGACC
Molecule: non-coding RNA, 78 nt
Filed under: Streptomyces sp.
Lineage: Bacteria; Bacillati; Actinomycetota; Actinomycetes; Kitasatosporales; Streptomycetaceae
Source: RNAcentral